UGCGACGAUGCGUAGGGGUUCUGAGAGGAAGGUCCCCCACACUGGUACUGAGACACGGACCAGACUCCUACGGGAGGCAGCAGUGAGGAAUAUUGGUCAAUGGGAGAGAUCCUGAACCAGCCAAGCCGCGUGAGGGAAGACGGCCCUAUGGGUUGUAAACCUCUUUUGUCGGAGAACAAAACCCGGGACGUGUCCCGGACUGCGUGUAUCCGAAGAAAAAGCAUCGGCUAACUCCGUGCCAGCAGCCGCGGUAAUACGGAGGAUGCGAGCGUUAUCCGGAUUUAUUGGGUUUAAAGGGUGCGUAGGCGGUCUGUUAAGUCAGCGGUAAAAUUGCGGGGCUCAACCCCGUCGAGCCGUUGAAACUGGCAGACUUGAGUUGGCGAGAAGUACGCGGAAUGCGCGGUGUAGCGGUGAAAUGCAUAGAUAUCGCGCAGAACUCCGAUUGCGAAGGCAGCGUACCGGCGCCAGACUGACGCUGAGGCACGAAAGCGUGGGGAUCGAACAGGAUUAGAUACCCUGGUAGUCCACGCAGUAAACGAUGAAUGCUGGUUGUCCGGGUCGAAUGAGACCUGG
RNAcentral lists this ribosomal RNA (573 nucleotides) under uncultured bacterium. Its description in RNAcentral is "bacterial SSU rRNA". It matches the Rfam family "Bacterial small subunit ribosomal RNA", at positions 272 to 842 of the family's 1533-position model. The record is from RNAcentral.